AGCCAUUCCAGCAUUGCUUUGGCUGUAUGCUUAGGGUCGUUAUCCUGUUGGAACAUAAAUCUUCACCCCCAGUCUAAGGUCGUUUGCACUCUGAAGCAGGUUCUCAUAAAGGAUUUGCAUGUAUUUGGUUCCAUUCAUUGUUCCUCUGUCCUUGCCAGUCUCCCAGUCUCCAUAGCAUGAUGCUCCACCGCCCUGUUUCACGUAAGGGAUGGUGUUAGAUGGGUGAUUAGCUGUGCCUGGUUUUCUCCAGACAGCGCUUUGCAUUCAGGCCAAAGAGUUUAAUUUUGUCUCAUCAGACCACAGAGUCUUUUGCCUUAUGUUCUCAGAGUCGUUCACGUGCCUUUUUCCAAACUCCCGGCAUGCUGUCAUGUGCCUUUUUCUCAGGAGUGGCUUCCAUCUGGCCACUCUCCCAUGAAGCCCAGAUUGAUGAAGUGCUGUAGAGACUGUUGUCCUGCUGUCAGGUUCUCCCAUCUCAGCCAAGGAACUCUGUAGUUCUGUCAGAGUGGUCAUUGGGUUAUUGGUCACCUCCCAAUGUCCUUCUUGCUUGGUUGCUCAGUUUGGUCGGACGGCCAGCUCUAGCAGAGUCUGGGUAGCUCCAUAUUUUUUCAAUUUCCCAAUGAUGGAGACCACUGUGCUCUUGGAAACUCUCAACAUAAAUUGUUUUAUACCCUUCCCCAGAUACUGUAUAUGCCUCAUCACAAUUCUUUUACAGCCAGUUCCUGGGACUUCAUGGUAUAGUUUCUGCUCUGACAUGCACUGUCAACUGUGGGACCUUAUAUGGACAGGUGUGUUUUUUCUAAAUCAUGUCCAAACAAUUGAUUUGACCAUAGGUGAACGCCAAUCAAGUUGUAGUGACAUCUCAAGGAUGAUCAAAGGAAAUCGGAUGCACCUGAGCUCAAUUUGGAGUGUCAUAGAAAAGGGGUCGCAGUUGCAAAUGAGAUCUUGUUCUCAACUAUCCUACCUGGUUAAAUAAAGGUGAAAUAAAAUAAAAAUAAAAAGUCAAGAACAAAGUAAUGGAGCCCGUCAGCAUGGGUGAAUGGGCAACACUCAUCGUACGAAGAAUGGUGGAACCAGGAUAUGUGGAGACUUUAAUUACACAGUUAACCCUGAGCAAUAUCUUCUACAGCAUCAAUGACCUUUUCCCGGGUUUAGCUGGGGGUCAAAGUUCAGCAAAAUCAACCUCUGUCAAGCCUACUUGCAGAUGUAUGUGGAUGACAAGUCAAAGGAGUACAAUGCUACCUGAAUGACAUCCUCGUUACUGGAAAGGAUGAAGAGGACCAUCUCCUGAACUUGGAUGUGACCUUACAGAGACUUAAGGACUAUGGAGUGCGAGUUUGUAAGGACAAAUGUGCAUUUUUCUAAUCAUCGGUUCAAUACCUCGGACACGUCAUCGAUGCCACGGGCCUUCACACGGCUCCGUCCAAGGUCAAGGCUAUCUUGGACGCCCCAGCUCCACAGAACAUGAGCAAACUACCUUUUUUCCUGGGGUUACUGAUUUUCAACGGAUGCUUAGCAACAAAGCUGAAGCCGCUGCAUCAGUUGCUUUGUCAGGACAAAACAUGGAAAUCAACAGAACAAUGUGAGGAAGCAUUUUUGAAAACCAAGGAAACUCCUAAAAUCUGAGCCACUGACGAACUUUGAACCGUCAUUGCCCAUCCAACUACCUUGUGAUGCUAGUCCAUAUGGUGUAGGUGCAGUUGUGUGCGAUAUCAUGCCUUCUGGUGAAGAGAUCGCGACCGCUUUCGCAUCAUGGACAUUGAACAAAGGAGAAAGUAACUAAGCACAGAUGGACUUUCCGUUCUUAGACAUUGUUUUUGUAGUGCGUAAAAUUUGUAAAAAAUGUAUGUAAGAGGGGAAGAGAUGUACAUUAAGGUUAAACCUUUCGCAACUCCUUACUUACCUUAGUUGUAUGAGCAAAGCAUCAUGGAAAUUAUUGUGUAGAUGGUUGAAUUCUUGGGAGAGAGAGUUUUGCUGAUGAAGUACUGGCAAGGAAUCGCAGACCUCACCUACGACCUUCCUCAGUAGCCGAGAUGAUUGGACCCCCACUCUUUCUCCCAGCUCUUCCAACGAUCUGCUCCUGCUCCGUAUCAGACGACCCAGCUUGGUACACCCCACACCUAACAGGCAUGAACGUAGGCUGACUGAACCCAUAGCACAGGACUGGAUGACAGUGUUAUGAAAAAGAGGCUCUUCAUAAAGCCACAUCCCUGGUGGGGUGCCGGCCUUACGGGACAUGUCGAAAACUCUCCAAGCCUGCAUAACAGACUCAUAGAAUGGAGUCAGUCCAGACAAAUCACCCCCCUCUAGCUUUAAGAAGAAAAGGUGCUUGUCUAAGCCCAAACAGCCCACUCUCCUCAUCAAUGUGUAGGCUGAGUCGACCCAGCUAGAACCGUCACUGUACAACAGUCUCUGGGCUGCUUGAAGCCGGAAUGCCAUGAUCCUAGAAGAAAUAUCCACCAGUCCUUGCCAACCCUUGUGGCAGGUACAGGGCUGCAACUUAAUCAAAUGUUGUCCAGACCAGAAAAAAAUUGACAAGGUUCCUCUGAAGCUCUUGUAUCAGACCCCCCAGUGGCUGUAAAAACAUUAGUCUGUGCCAUAGGGUAGAGGCAGCUAGGUUAUUGGAUGCCAGCACCCUUCCCCUACACGUUGGAAAGCAGAUCGAGCAUAGUGGAGUAGAGGACCGACAGAGAGGAGAGGAGACUUGUUUACGCUGCUGUGCGUUUUUGUUGCCGAUCUUACUUUGAUACCUGACGGUUUUUUACUUUUUCAUUACCGUAUAUUUUUACUUUUUCCCUCACUCAACUUUUUUCCUCACUCAACUUUUUUCAUUCAUCCCCGGAGGUUUUAUCUGGACAUGGUUCGUCAGGACUUCAAACAGCCGAAGCUAAGUAACAUUAACAUGAUGCCUUCUAAUUGCAGUCGUUGUACUUAUAAUAUACAGGAGAACGAUCGCCUUACGGCAAGGAUAGCUGUGCUGCAAGCCCAGCUUCAGACGCGAUCGUUAGGCAAGGGUAAUUUCAGUGUAGGAAAGGAUGAAACAGCGUCUGUGCCACCAGUAAGUACAGAUAGUAACGUUAGUAUAAACCCCCUCGCACGGUCCCCGCAGCCGGACAUCUUUCUCAUGGCUUCUGGAGGGAAACGCUGUAGGAAUGCUCAACCGGUGUCGCUUAUUCAGCCGACAGAAACUUUCAACCGGUUCUCCCCAUUAAGCGAGUCGGAGUCGGAGGCCGAGACUUCUCUGGUCUCUACUCCUCCCGUUGUGGGGUCUGAGACGCCGACGGCUCCCACCAUUAGCUCUGACAAAUUGAAAACCCUAGUCAUUGGCGACUCCAUUACCCGCAGUAUUAGACUUAAAACUAAUCAUCCAGCGAUCAUACACUGUUUACCAGGGGGCAGGGCUACCGACGUUAAGGCUAAUCUAAAGACGGUGCUGGCUAAAGCUAAAACUGGCGAGUGUAGAGAGUAUAGAGAUAUUGUUAUCCACGUCGGCACCAACGAUGUUAGGAUGAAACAGUCAGAGGUCACC
This 3526-nucleotide long non-coding RNA is filed under the name Salmo salar (Atlantic salmon). RNAcentral's name for it is "lncRNA (ENSSSAG00000102805.1)". Lineage: Eukaryota; Metazoa; Chordata; Actinopteri; Salmoniformes; Salmonidae. The record is from RNAcentral.